RNAcentral lists this long non-coding RNA (1127 nucleotides) under Ricinus communis (castor bean). Its description in RNAcentral is "long non-coding RNA (RCOM_LNC002091)". Lineage: Eukaryota; Viridiplantae; Streptophyta; Magnoliopsida; Malpighiales; Euphorbiaceae. The record is from RNAcentral.
UGGGUUCAAGCAUACUAUAGCACUUUGUCUAUGUGUUUGGGUGCCAAAUUGCAAUUGGGGAUUUUGCGAAAUUCUGCAUUUGGUCCCUGUGCAUAUCACCAUUUUCACUCUUUCUCUACCUCCCUCACCAUCGAUUUCUCUCUCCACUGCCAGCCCAUUUCCGGCCACCUUUCGCUGCCAGAUUUCUACCAAGUGUCGUUCUCGAUGUUGCCAACUACUCCUUGUCGUUGGUUUUGCCUGGAACCGUCGGAAAUUGGUGUUUCGAGAGGGAAGGAUUUUCUCCCUCCGUUGUUGUUGCUUGUCCAGCGCCGUCCCCGGCCACCGUUGCUCAAACCAAUACCGAACUUAGUUCCUCGCCAUUGAAAACCCCAAGAACGACCUCUCCCUGUCGUUUUCCCUUGCCAACAAUCAAUGUUGAGCCUCGCUAGAGCCGAAGCUUUUCGGCCUCGAUCUGGCAGCUUCGGGCGAGCUUUAAGCAAUAAGAAUACCAUUUUCGGACUCCUCACUUCGCAAGCUUCGCAUGGGUAUCAUCGAAUCCAAUUUGUGUCACCGUUGAAAAAUUCCGGCAAUCGAACUCCAGUGACUUCAGGACGCGUGUCAACAGGUAGAAUAUCUGUCUCAGCAUCUCGGUUUAUCGUGCGCUAGUUUUACGAGUUAAACUCAUCUUGAUAUAAUAUUUUUGGACCCAAGAACUUAAUUUAAUAAUUAGCAAUUAUUAUUUAGUUUUAUUAAUUAUUAGUUUAUUGUAAUUCAAUUUUUGUAAAUUAUCACUAGUUAGUUACAUGUGAUGGUCAUUUAAUUGUGAUUAAAUUAGUUUGAUUAUCAGAGCUAGAUUUGGAAACUUAUUUGUGGAUCAUUAUUAAUUAAGAAAUUAAUAAUUGUGAUUGUUGUGUUGUAUUGGUGAGUGGGGGAAUUAUUGUAGUUUGUGGAUCUAUUUAUUGGAAAAAGAUACAAAUAAAUCCCUAACAUUUGUGCCGUAAAGCAAAUAAGCUCCUAGUCAUUUUCUUGGCGCAAAUAAGCACGAGAAAAUAUUUUAACUGUAUUCUAUGUCGUCAAUUAAACCAAAAAGACAUUUAAAAUAAACGACCGUUGUAACUCAGCUGAUGUGGCAUAAUAUUUUAUGUGAA